RNAcentral lists this ribosomal RNA (277 nucleotides) under uncultured prokaryote. Its description in RNAcentral is "partial 16S ribosomal RNA". It matches the Rfam family "Bacterial small subunit ribosomal RNA", at positions 524 to 800 of the family's 1533-position model. The record is from RNAcentral.
UACGUAGGGGGCAAGCGUUGUCCGGAAUUACUAGGCGUAAAGGGCAGGCAGGCGGAUCCAUAAGUUUAUCGUUUAAGGCGUCGGCUUAACCGGCGUAGGGCGGUAGAUACUGUGGAUCUGGAAUGCGGUUGGGGAAGACAGAAUUCCUGGUGUAGCGGUGGAAUGCGCAGAGAUCAGGAGGAAUACCGAAGGCGAAGGCAGUCUUCCAAGCCGUUAUUGACGCUCAACUGCGAAGGUGUGGGUAUCAAACAGGAUUAGAUACCCCUGUAGUCCCUGA